This 253-nucleotide ribosomal RNA is filed under the name uncultured bacterium. Its description in RNAcentral is "partial 16S ribosomal RNA". It matches the Rfam family "Bacterial small subunit ribosomal RNA", at positions 524 to 776 of the family's 1533-position model. The record is from RNAcentral.
UACGUAGGGUGCAAGCGUUGUCCGGAAUUACUGGGCGUAAAGAGCUCGUAGGUGGUUUGUCGCGUUGUUCGUGAAAACUCACAGCUCAACUGUGGGCGUGCGGGCGAUACGGGCAGACUUGAGUACUGCAGGGGAGACUGGAAUUCCUGGUGUAGCGGUGGAAUGCGCAGAUAUCAGGAGGAACACCGGUGGCGAAGGCGGCAUCCUGGACCAAUACUGACGCUGAGGCGCGAAAGCUAGGGGAGCAAACGGG